RNAcentral lists this non-coding RNA (203 nucleotides) under Enterococcus pallens. RNAcentral's name for it is "T-box sequence". It matches the Rfam family "T-box leader". Rfam says of the family: Uncharged tRNA acts as the effector for transcription antitermination of genes in the T-box leader family. T-boxes are found upstream of many aminoacyl-tRNA synthetase genes and some amino acid biosynthetic genes usually in Gram-positive bacteria. Lineage: Bacteria; Bacillati; Bacillota; Bacilli; Lactobacillales; Enterococcaceae. The record is from RNAcentral.
UUAACAUCAAUGAAAGAAAGAGUAAGCAACGAAGAGGGUGCAGAGAGAAUUGCCUAGGCUGAGAGCAAUUCCAAAUCGAGUUCCUGAAAGACAUUCUGGAGAUGAGCGCGUGCAAAGCCGCUCCGUUUCGCAAGCGUUAAUUGCUAGAGGAAAAAGGAAACUUUUUCAAAGAUAGGUGGUACCGCGAUUAUUUCGCCCUUGUU